CCCCUCUCAGGUUCACACCUGGAGAGUUUUCAGUCCUCUACCAGUCUCGAUUACAGGAGGGAGAGUUCAGCAGAGGCCUACCCAUUCCAUUCCUAGCUUGGGCAGUGGUUAGCUAGUGGAAGACAAUCUGCUACAAGU
RNAcentral lists this small nucleolar RNA (138 nucleotides) under Ornithorhynchus anatinus (platypus). Lineage: Eukaryota; Metazoa; Chordata; Mammalia; Monotremata; Ornithorhynchidae. The record is from RNAcentral.